RNAcentral lists this ribosomal RNA (510 nucleotides) under uncultured bacterium. RNAcentral's name for it is "bacterial SSU rRNA". It matches the Rfam family "Bacterial small subunit ribosomal RNA", at positions 36 to 518 of the family's 1533-position model. The record is from RNAcentral.
CUGGCGGCGUGCCUAAUACAUGCAAGUCGAACGGUCUUUCUAUGGAAGCUUGCUUCCACUGAGAAGAUAGUGGCGAACGGGUGAGUAACACGUGGGUAACCUGCCCAUAAGAGGGGGAUAACAUCCGGAAACGGGUGCUAAUACCGCAUAGUUUUCUUGAUCGCAUGAUCGGGAAAGGAAAGACGGCCUUUGUGCUGUCGCUUAUGGAUGGACCCGCGGCGUAUUAGUUAGUUGGUGAGGUAAUGGCUCACCAAGACGAUGAUACGUAGCCGACCUGAGAGGGUGAUCGGCCACAUUGGGACUGAGACACGGCCCAAACUCCUACGGGAGGCAGCAGUAGGGAAUCUUCCGCAAUGGACGAAAGUCUGACGGAGCAACGCCGCGUGAGUGAAGAAGGUUUUUCCGGAUCGUAAAACUCUGUUGUCAGAGAAGAACAAGUUGGAGAGUAACUGCUCCAGCCUUGACGGUAUCUGACCAGAAAGCCACGGCUAACUACGUGCCAGCAGCCGC